RNAcentral lists this ribosomal RNA (253 nucleotides) under uncultured bacterium. RNAcentral describes it as "partial 16S ribosomal RNA". It matches the Rfam family "Bacterial small subunit ribosomal RNA", at positions 524 to 776 of the family's 1533-position model. The record is from RNAcentral.
UACGAAGGGGGCGAGCGUUGUUCGGAUUUACUGGGCGUAAAGGGCGCGCAGGCGGCGCAUUUUGUCAGGCGUGAAAGCCCCGGGCUUAACCUGGGAAUUGCGUUUGAUACGGAUGGGCUAGAGUUCGGGAGAGGAGAGUGGAAUUCCCAGUGUAGAGGUGAAAUUCGUAGAUAUUGGGAAGAACACCGGUGGCGAAGGCGGCUCUCUGGACCGAGACUGACGCUGAGGCGCGAAAGCGUGGGGAGCAAACAGG